UCCUUUCCCUCUCCCUCCCUCCUCACCCCAGCAAGGAACAGCAGCGCAGGCAGGAUGCUGCGGUACAGCAGCAGGAAGAAGCAGCGGGAAAGUGGGAAGUAAGUCUUUAUAUCAGUAUUGCUGCCAAAGGUAACAGAUCCUCAGCCGAGGCUGUGAAUUACCACGCUUGUAGUUUAGGGCUAAGGCUGUGCACAUGCGCGCACACGCAGGCACAGGAGCAGUUGUGGAGAUCAGCUGAGGCCACGAAGGAAAUUCGUAACAAUUCAGUUGCAGUGCCUGGAACUAGACAAAGUCUACACUGAGGUUUUUUAUGCUGCACGGAGGGAAAAAAGAAAAAACCCACAUGCGGUGUCAGCCCUAAUCCCCGACCGCCUGCGUGUCAGGCAGUCGAAGGACGUACUCUGAACCACAGCGCUGCAGUAGUCUUUACAGGCAGUCCAAAAGACUGAAAUUCUGCCGCAGUGUGCUUCUCGCGAGCCAGUAACACACCAGUUCUGCGUUCUGCGCAGCAGCAGCCAACGCGUUACAUGUCCCGGGCAUCUCAGGCCCGCACGUCUCCUCUCCGUGAGGGCCUGGGCUCAGCAGCCACGCGUACAAAGGAUCUUCUUGCCUGACCACCUACACCGCGUGGGAGUUACGGGUGCGCUCGGUCAAUUAGUCCCUGUAAUACCAAGGGAAGUCAGCAGAAAUCAGCCUGUUCAGCAUCUCUGAAUUUUCUGAAUCCUUUGUGAGGCUUUGUUUGUAAUAUCUUUGUUUUAAGUUAGUAAUUCAGCUGUAUUUCCAUAAAAGUACUUUAAAACAAAACUUCCACGUGUACCCUCAAAUACUUGCAUAAGGAAAUGCACCCCAGUAAUGCUGGUGAGCAAAUCCAGUCCAGGAGGGGGAGCGACGCAGCCGGCUAGCUGCCAUUAACUGACACAGCUACAGCUUGGGAUUGUUCAGGUAACUUCAGCACACUGUGCAUUGGAGGAGAAAGUCAUCGGAGGAAGGAAAUCUGGGAUCUGCUACAUAAUAAGAAAACAAGGAUAGAUUUGUUCUAUCAGUAACUGUAAAUUAUUCAUGCAAUUUAAAAAAUAAACCCCAGCACUACAUGCUGCAGGGAAUAUGGGUAGCAGAGAUGAAAUAAUAAACUGAAAAUCCCUCUUUGCCAAUUUAGAUGAAGGAGGAGUUGGGAGUGCUGCUAAAACAAAGGUUAGGUAGAGCUGAGACGUGGCUGUGUUCCUGCAGAGAGAAGAGCGGCAAGAGGGAAGAGGGCAGCCACGUGCCAGACCGGCGUGCUCUCGGAGGCUUUGCACAACUCCUGCUCGAGGAGUUGAAUCAAAGAGUCUCACAUGAUACCAUGAGUGUGCUGGACAGGAGCUGAGCUCUGCACCCUUCCUAGGCUACGUAAACAGUCAGCAUUUCAGUUGGAUCAAGAGCCAAGCUGAGCUUUGGAUGCAGCGACACAUGGAAAAUACAAUGCCGUAACAAUAAAUCUAAUGUACAAAGCUGGGGCUAAUUAGUUUGAAUCAGUCUCUUAUUUUGCAGAAAGAAAAAGAAAAAUCAGAGAACAGUUUGCUUCUGCUGGGGACGACAUCCCUCAAAAA
Long non-coding RNA from Harpia harpyja (harpy eagle), 1586 nucleotides. RefSeq lists it as uncharacterized. NCBI's taxonomy places the organism in Eukaryota, Metazoa, Chordata, Aves, Accipitriformes, Accipitridae. The record is from RefSeq and is a predicted model, not a curated record. The transcript has 4 exons.